Molecule: ribosomal RNA, 497 nt
Filed under: uncultured bacterium
Lineage: Bacteria
Description: partial 16S ribosomal RNA
Rfam family: Bacterial small subunit ribosomal RNA
Source: RNAcentral
GAUGAACGCUGGCGGCGUGCCUAAUACAUGCAAGUCGAGCGAACGGACGAGAAGCUUGCUUCUCUGAUGUUAGCGGCGGACGGGUGAGUAACACGUGGAUAACCUACCUAUAAGACUGGGAUAACUUCGGGAAACCGGAGCUAAUACCGGAUAAUAUUUUGAACCGCAUGGUUCAAAAGUGAAAGACGGUCUUGCUGUCACUUAUAGAUGGAUCCGCGCUGCAUUAGCUAGUUGGUAAGGUAACGGCUUACCAAGGCAACGAUGCAUAGCCGACCUGAGAGGGUGAUCGGCCACACUGGAACUGAGACACGGUCCAGACUCCUACGGGAGGCAGCAGUAGGGAAUCUUCCGCAAUGGGCGAAAGCCUGGCGGAGUAACGCCGCGUGAGUGAUGAAGGUCUUCGGAUCGUAAAACUCUGUUAUUAGGGAAGAACAUAUGUGUAAGUAACUGUGCACAUCUUGACGGUACCUAAUCAGAAAGCCACGGCUAACUACGUG